Molecule: ribosomal RNA, 485 nt
Filed under: Fusarium concolor
Lineage: Eukaryota; Fungi; Ascomycota; Sordariomycetes; Hypocreales; Nectriaceae
Description: eukaryotic LSU rRNA
Rfam family: Eukaryotic large subunit ribosomal RNA
Source: RNAcentral
UGAAAUCUGGCUCUCGGGCCCGAGUUGUAAUUUGUAGAGGAUGCUUUUGAUGCGGUGCCUUCCGAGUUCCCUGGAACGGGACGCCAUAGAGGGUGAGAGCCCCGUCUGGUUGGAUGCCAAAUCUCUGUAAAGCUCCUUCAACGAGUCGAGUAGUUUGGGAAUGCUGCUCUAAAUGGGAGGUAUAUGUCUUCUAAAGCUAAAUACCGGCCAGAGACCGAUAGCGCACAAGUAGAGUGAUCGAAAGAUGAAAAGCACUUUGAAAAGAGAGUUAAAAAGUACGUGAAAUUGUUGAAAGGGAAGCGUUUAUGACCAGACUUGGGCUUGUUUAAUCAUCCGGGCUUCUGCCCGGUGCACUUGUUCAGCUCAGGCCAGCAUCAGUUUUCCCCGGGGGAUAAAGGCGGCGGGAAUGUGGCUCUCUUCGGGGAGUGUUAUAGCCCACCGUGUAAUACCCUGGGGGGGACUGAGGUUCGCGCAUCUGCAAGGAU